RNAcentral lists this ribosomal RNA (536 nucleotides) under Flavobacterium sp. Ri1Pt_3699. Its description in RNAcentral is "bacterial SSU rRNA". It matches the Rfam family "Bacterial small subunit ribosomal RNA", at positions 461 to 1002 of the family's 1533-position model. Lineage: Bacteria; Pseudomonadati; Bacteroidota; Flavobacteriia; Flavobacteriales; Flavobacteriaceae. The record is from RNAcentral.
GUUGGAGCUUGACGGUAUGUAAGAAUAAGGAUCGGCUAACUCCGUGCCAGCAGCCGCGGUAAUACGGAGGAUCCAAGCGUUAUCAAAAAUCAUUGGGUUUAAAGGGUCCGUAGGCGGUUUAGUAAGUCAGUGGUGAAAGCCCAUCGCUCAACGGUGGAACGGCCAUUGAUACUGCUAAACUUGAAUUAUUAGGAAGUAACUAGAAUAUGUAGUGUAGCGGUGAAAUGCUUAGAGAUUACAUGGAAUACCAAUUGCGAAGGCAGGUUACUACUAAUGGAUUGACGCUGAUGGACGAAAGCGUGGGUAGCGAACAGGAUUAGAUACCCUGGUAGUCCACGCCGUAAACGAUGGAUACUAGCUGUUGGAAGCAAUUUCAGUGGCUAAGCGAAAGUGAUAAGUAUCCCACCUGGGGAGUACGUUCGCAAGAAUGAAACUCAAAGGAAUUGACGGGGGCCCGCACAAGCGGUGGAGCAUGUGGUUUAAUUCGAUGAUACGCGAGGAACCUUACCAAGGCUUAAAUGUAGAUUGACCGGUUU